AACGCGAAGAACCUUACCUGCCCUUGACAUCCCGCGGAGACUGCAGAGAUGCGGUUGUGCCGAGAGGAACGCGGAGACAGGUGCUGCAUGGCUGUCGUCAGCUCGUGUUGUGAGAUGUUGGGUUAAGUCCCGUAACGAGCGCAACCCUUAUUCCUAGUUACCAACGCGUAGAGGCGGGGACUCUAGGGAGACUGCUGGUGAAGAACCGGAGGAAGGUGGGGACGAGGUCAAGUCAUCAUGGCCUUUAUGGGCAGGGCUACACACGUGCUACAAUGGGGCGUACAGAGGGAAGCGAAGCCGAGAGGUGGAGCGGAUCCGAGAAAGCGCCUCGUAGUCCGGAUUGAAGUCUGCAACUCGACUUCAUGAAGUUGGAAUCGCUAGUAAUCGCGAAUCAGAAUGUCGCGGUGAAUACGUUCCCGGGCCUUGUACACACCGAGACGAC
Molecule: ribosomal RNA, 442 nt
Filed under: uncultured bacterium
Lineage: Bacteria
Description: bacterial SSU rRNA
Rfam family: Bacterial small subunit ribosomal RNA
Source: RNAcentral